This is a long non-coding RNA of Epinephelus moara (kelp grouper), 880 nucleotides long. RefSeq lists it as uncharacterized. The transcript has 7 exons. The record is from RefSeq and is a predicted model, not a curated record. Lineage: Eukaryota; Metazoa; Chordata; Actinopteri; Perciformes; Serranidae.
AAGUUAUCUUUAACUUAAGUUACGGUAUCUACGACGUGUUUGUGUAAAUUUAGUUUAGCUAGCAGCGAGCUAGUUAGCAUCAAACAGGGAGGAGAAGGUUAAAACAAAUGUCACCGCAGAAACAAGAGCACCUGGAAACAUUUACAGCCCGGACAUUCAUCACUGUGACUCCAUGAAGACAGAGAAGAAGACCACCUUCAUACAUAGUGGAAGCGGAAGGCGUCCGUCUUGUGUUUGAAGAUGUAGUAGCCGAGUGCAGCCAACACACACGCCAGCAACAACGACACCAAGAUGGCCGACACUGUGCCGCUUGAGUGGGUGUAGCUUCUGGAAGCAUGAUGGGAGAUCUGGAGAUGACAGUAACAGCUACACUUUGCUGCACCGUUGCCAUGGAGACGUGACUCUGUGCCAGGAAGAAGAAUCUGUUUACAGUAUGUGGAGGAAAGACAGAUGGCCACCAACAUGUCACAUGUCCAACUGUAGCUGUUGCCUAGCAACAACAGACAGAACAUCCUAUUUAGGAAGCGCUGCUGGAUAAAGAGGAACGGUUGGUUGCCAUGGUGCCUCCUGGUGGCUGAGCUCAGAACUGCAGUGGUUCACAACACCGCAAACAUUUCAUCUAACUGGAAGCCAAGCAAUGUACUGCUGUGAACUGGACGGCAGCAAAAGGUUUUCACUCUACAGUUCCCAUCGUGCUUCGGAUGAUAUGAUGAAGAGGAAGAGUACAAUUUUAGCCCUGUUAAAUUUGUCCCGUGUAUCUUUACAUUUUCGGGAAUCUGCACCAUUAAAACGCCAUGCAGCAGGAUGAUGACAGAUGACAUGAUGGUUCAGAAUUGGAGGAAGAAGUUGCCCUAAUUGUCAGCAGCUCUAGGUUAAACCA